RNAcentral lists this ribosomal RNA (520 nucleotides) under uncultured Glomus. Its description in RNAcentral is "SSU rRNA". It matches the Rfam family "Eukaryotic small subunit ribosomal RNA", at positions 569 to 1093 of the family's 1831-position model. Lineage: Eukaryota; Fungi; Glomeromycota; Glomeromycetes; Glomerales; Glomeraceae. The record is from RNAcentral.
AGCAGCCGCGGUAAUUCCAGCUCCAAUAGCGUAUAUUAAAGUUGUUGCAGUUAAAAAGCUCGUAGUUGAAUUUCGGGGUCAGUAGGUCGGUCGUGCCACUGGUAUGAACUGGUUUUACUGAUUCCUCCCUCUUGAAGAACUGUAAUGCCAUUAAUUUGGUGUUGCAGGGAAUCAGGACUGUUACUUUGAAAAAAUUGAGUGUUUAAAGCAGGCUUUAGCUUGAAUACAUUAGCAUGGAAUAAUGAAAUAGGACGUUUGAUCCUAUUUUGUUGGUUUCUAGGAUUGACGUAAUGAUUAAUAGGGAUAGUUGGGGGCAUUAGUAUUCAAUUGUCAGAGGUGAAAUUCUUGGAUUUAUUGAAGACUAACUACUGCGAAAGCAUUUGCCAAGGGUGUUUUCAUUAAUCAAGAACGAAGUUAGGGGAUCGAAGACGAUCAGAUACCGUCGUAGUCUUAACCAUAAACUAUGACCGACUAGGGAUCGGAUGAUGUUAAUUUUUANGUAUCAUUCGGCNCCUUACGG